GGCUACGUAGCUCAGACGGUUAGAGCGCAGCACUCAUAACGCUGAAGUCGGUGGUUCAAUCCCACCCGUAGCCA
Molecule: transfer RNA, 74 nt
Filed under: Achromatium sp. WMS2
Lineage: Bacteria; Pseudomonadati; Pseudomonadota; Gammaproteobacteria; Thiotrichales; Thiotrichaceae
Rfam family: tRNA
About the family: Transfer RNA (tRNA) molecules are approximately 80 nucleotides in length. Their secondary structure includes four short double-helical elements and three loops (D, anti-codon, and T loops). Further hydrogen bonds mediate the characteristic L-shaped molecular structure. tRNAs have two regions of fundamental functional importance: the anti-codon, which is responsible for specific mRNA codon recognition, and the 3' end, to which the tRNAs corresponding amino acid is attached (by aminoacyl-tRNA synthetases). tRNAs cope with the degeneracy of the genetic code in two manners: having more than one tRNA (with a specific anti-codon) for a particular amino acid; and 'wobble' base-pairing, i.e. permitting non-standard base-pairing at the 3rd anti-codon position.
Source: Rfam by way of RNAcentral